GACGAACGCUGGCGGCGUGCCUAAUACAUGCAAGUAGAACGCUGAAGAGAGGAGCUUGCUCUUCUUGGAUGAGUUGCGAACGGGUGAGUAACGCGUAGGUAACCUGCCUUGUAGCGGGGGAUAACUAUUGGAAACGAUAGCUAAUACCGCAUAACAAUGGAUGACACAUGUCAUUUAUUUGAAAGGGGCAAUUGCUCCACUACAAGAUGGACCUGCGUUGUAUUAGCUAGUAGGUGAGGUAAUGGCUCACCUAGGCGACGAUACAUAGCCGACCUGAGAGGGUGAUCGGCCACACUGGGACUGAGACACGGCCCAGACUCCUACGGGAGGCAGCAGUAGGGAAUCUUCGGCAAUGGGGGCAACCCUGACCGAGCAACGCCGCGUGAGUGAAGAAGGGUUUCGGAUCGUAAAGCUCUGUUGUAAGUCAAGAACGGGUGUGAGAGUGGAAGGUUCACACUGUGACGGUAGCUUACCAGAAAGGGACGGCUAACUACGUG
This 497-nucleotide ribosomal RNA is filed under the name uncultured bacterium. Its description in RNAcentral is "partial 16S ribosomal RNA". It matches the Rfam family "Bacterial small subunit ribosomal RNA", at positions 28 to 507 of the family's 1533-position model. The record is from RNAcentral.